UAUAUACUUCCUCCGUAUCAAAAUUUUUGUCUUAGAUUUGUUUAGAAAUGAAUAUAUCUAAAUACUAAAACGUGAUUAAAUACAUUCAUAUCUAGACAAAUCUAAGGCAAGAAUUUUGGAACGGAGAGAGUAUGUA
Non-coding RNA from Hordeum vulgare subsp. vulgare (domesticated barley), 136 nucleotides. NCBI's taxonomy places the organism in Eukaryota, Viridiplantae, Streptophyta, Magnoliopsida, Poales, Poaceae. The record is from Rfam.